RNAcentral lists this ribosomal RNA (244 nucleotides) under uncultured anaerobic ammonium-oxidizing bacterium. RNAcentral's name for it is "partial 16S ribosomal RNA". It matches the Rfam family "Bacterial small subunit ribosomal RNA", at positions 439 to 674 of the family's 1533-position model. The record is from RNAcentral.
GGAGUUAGGAAAUGUAAGUGCGCCAAUAUCGUGCAUAUUUGACAAAGGCUCCAAAGGAAGCCACGGCUAACUCUGUGCCAGCAGCCGCGGUAAUACAGAGGUGGCGAGCGUUGUUCGGAAUUAUUGGGCGUAAAGAGCACGUAGGUGGGUUUGCAAGUCAGAUGUGAAAGCCUUCUGUUCAACGGAAGAAUUGCAUCUGAAACUGCUGAUCUUGAGUAUAGGAGGGGAGAGUGGAACUUCUGGU